RNAcentral lists this ribosomal RNA (919 nucleotides) under Lophiostoma caespitosum. Its description in RNAcentral is "partial large subunit ribosomal RNA". It matches the Rfam family "Eukaryotic large subunit ribosomal RNA", at positions 1 to 937 of the family's 3401-position model. Lineage: Eukaryota; Fungi; Ascomycota; Dothideomycetes; Pleosporales; Lophiostomataceae. The record is from RNAcentral.
AUUGACCUCGGAUCAGGUAGGGAUACCCGCUGAACUUAAGCAUAUCAAUAAGCGGAGGAAAAGAAACCAACAGGGAUUGCCCUAGUAACGGCGAGUGAAGCGGCAACAGCUCAAAUUUGAAAUCUGGCUCCUUUGGGGUCCGAGUUGUAAUUUGUAGAGGGUGCUUUGGCGUUGGCUGUGGUCUAAGUUCCUUGGAACAGGACGUCACAGAGGGUGAGAAUCCCGUACGUGGCCGCCAGUCUUCGCCGUGUAAAGCCCCUUCGAUGAGUCGAGUUGUUUGGGAAUGCAGCUCUAAAUGGGAGGUAAAUUUCUUCUAAAGCUAAAUAUUUGCCAGAGACCGAUAGCGCACAAGUAGAGUGAUCGAAAGAUGAAAAGCACUUUGGAAAGAGAGUCAAAAAGCACGUGAAAUUGUUGAAAGGGAAGCGCUUGCAGCUAGACGUGCCUUGGGUUGAUCAGCCGGACUUUUGCCCGGUGCACUCUUCCUUUGGCAGGCCAGCAUCAGUUUGGGCGGCUGGAUAAAGGUCUGUUAAACGUGACUCCCUUCGGGGAGAGCUUAUAGGGCAGACGACAUGCAGCCAGCCUGAACUGAGGUCCGCGCAUCUGCUAGGAUGCUGGCGUAAUAGCUGUAAGCGGCCCGUCUUGAAACACGGACCAAGGAGUCUAACAUCUAUGCGAGUGUUUGGGUGUCAAGCCCGAGCGCGUAAUGAAAGUAAACGGAGGUGGGAACCUUUUAGGUGCACCAUCGACCGAUCCUGAUGUCUUCGGAUGGAUUUGAGUAAGAGCAUAGCUGUUGGGACCCGAAAGAUGGUGAACUAUGCCUGAAUAGGGUGAAGCCAGAGGAAACUCUGGUGGAGGCUCGCAGCGGUUCUGACGUGCAAAUCGAUCGUCAAAUUUGGGCAUAGGGGCGAAAGACUAAUCG